ACCAACUGGGAUUACCUUAGUAACGGCGAGUGAAGCGGUAAAAGCUCAAAUUUGAAAUCUGGUACUUUCAGUGCCCGAGUUGUAAUUUGUAGAAUUUGUCUUUGAUUAGGUCCUUGUCUAUGUUCCUUGGAACAGGACGUCAUAGAGGGUGAGAAUCCCGUUUGGCGAGGAUACCUUUUCUCUGUAAGACUUUUUCGAAGAGUCGAGUUGUUUGGGAAUGCAGCUCAAAGUGGGUGGUAAAUUCCAUCUAAAGCUAAAUAUUGGCGAGAGACCGAUAGCGAACAAGUACAGUGAUGGAAAGAUGAAAAGAACUUUGAAAAGAGAGUGAAAAAGUACGUGAAAUUGUUGAAAGGGAAGGGCAUUUGAUCAGACAUGGUGUUUUUUGCAUGCACUCGCCUCUCGUGGGCUUGGGCCUCUCAAAAAUUUCACUGGGCCAACAUCAAUUCUGGCAGCAGGAUAAAUCAUUAAGAAUGUAGCUACUUCGGUAGUGUUAUAGCUUUUUGGAAUACUGUUAGCCGGGAUUGAGGACUGCGCUUCGGCAAGGAUGUUGGCAUAAUGGUUAAAUGCCGCCCGUCUUGAACACCGGACC
This 589-nucleotide ribosomal RNA is filed under the name Hanseniaspora uvarum. RNAcentral describes it as "eukaryotic LSU rRNA". It matches the Rfam family "Eukaryotic large subunit ribosomal RNA", at positions 64 to 667 of the family's 3401-position model. Lineage: Eukaryota; Fungi; Ascomycota; Saccharomycetes; Saccharomycodales; Saccharomycodaceae. The record is from RNAcentral.